This 477-nucleotide ribosomal RNA is filed under the name uncultured bacterium. RNAcentral describes it as "partial 16S ribosomal RNA". It matches the Rfam family "Bacterial small subunit ribosomal RNA", at positions 28 to 507 of the family's 1533-position model. The record is from RNAcentral.
GAUGAACGCUGGCGGCGUGCCUAAUACAUGCAAGUCGAGCGAACAGACGAGGAGCUUGCUCCUCUGACGUUAGCGGCGGACGGGUGAGUAACACGUGGAUAACCUACCUAUAAGACUGGGAUAACUUCGGGAAACCGGAGCUAAUACCGGAUAAUAUAUUGAACCGCAUGGUUCAAUAGUGAAAGACGGUUUUGUUGGCGGUUAUAGAUGGAUGCGCGCCGCAUUAGCUAGUUGGUAAGGUAACGGCUUACCAAGGCAAAGAUGCGUAGCCGGCCUGAGAGGGGGAACGGCCACAAUGGGACUGAGGGACGGCCCAGACUCGUACGGGCGGCAGCAGUGGGGAAUAUUGCACAAUGGGCCGGAGCCUGAUGCAGCAACGUCGCGAGCGUGAUGACGGCCUUCGGGUUGUAAACCGCUGUCGCCUGUGACGAAGCGGGAGUGACGGUAAUGGGUAAGGAAGCACCGACUAACUACGUG